GAGGAGGGGGCGGCGGCGGCGCAGGUAGUCUCCAGAGGGGGCCGGCGGCGGGGGGAACAUGGCGCUGGGUACCAGGGCGCCGCGGCGGCUGCUGCACCUGCCGGCCGGGAGCUGCCUCCCCCUCCUGCUGCUGCUGCUCCUCCUCCUCUGCGGCCAGCUCGGGGGAGGACAGAAGAAGAAGGAGAAUCUUUUGGCUGAAAAGGUGGAACAGCUUAUGGAGUGGAGCUCAAGGCGCUCAGUCAUCCGCAUGAAUGGAGACAAAUUCCGAAGAUUUGUGAAGGCUCCACCUCGUAACUACUCUGUGAUAGUGAUGUUCACUGCUCUCCAGCCGCAGCGGCAGUGUUCUGUUUGCAGGCAAGCUAACGAAGAGUAUCAAGUGCUGGCCAAUUCAUGGCGCUAUUCAUCUGCUUUUUCAAACAAAUUGUUUUUCACAAUAGUGGAUUAUGAUGAAGGGGCAGAUGUUUUUCAACAGCUGAAUAUGAACUCUGCUCCGACUUUCAUGCAUUUUCCCCCGAAAGGUAAACCCAAGAGAGCUGACACAUUUGACCUGCAGAGAAUUGGAUUUGCAGCUGAGCAGCUAGCUAAAUGGAUAGCUGACAGAACAGAUGUUCAUAUUAGAGUAUUCAGGCCUCCUAACUAUUCUGGCACAAUUGCACUGGCUCUUCUGGUAUCUCUUGUUGGUGGCUUGUUAUAUCUGCGAAGAAAUAAUUUAGAAUUCAUCUACAACAAGACUGGCUGGGCCAUGGCAGCUCUGUGUGUUGUGUUUGCUAUGACAUCUGGUCAAAUGUGGAAUCAUAUCCGUGGACCCCCAUACGCUCAUAAAAAUCCUCAGAAUGGACAAGUGAGUUACAUACACGGAAGCAGUCAGGCUCAGUUUGUUGCAGAGUCGCAUAUUAUUCUUCUACUGAGUAUCCUUCAAAAAGUGCUGAAUAAAAAAACGCAAGUUGAGGCUUGCUCUGACAGUGCAUAUCAUUGACAUUUUGAGCAGGAUACCUCUGCUCAGAUACAGCAUCAGGAUUUCAGGGAGAUUCAGCUUUUUCAGUUUUCCAGUUGAGCUGGCUGAAGCACAAGGCGAUCAAGUGUCCUGCAUUGUCAUACAAUGAAUCAACAGUUUUUCCAGGAUUCUCCUGCCUUGUACUCAGUGACCAGAAGUGCUUGGGCAUUUAUAAUUGUUAGAAAGGUAUGAGAAGAGAGCUGGACAGGGUCUUUUGUUCUAAAUAUUAUUUGUUAAUAUUUCCCUUUCGCUCCCCUCACCCAAAACCAAAAAGGUAAGUGUAGUAAGUUCAGUAUCCUGUAUGAAAUGUUCAAAAUAAAUAAAAUGGAUUAUCAGAGCAAAAUAACAAGUGAUAGAUCUUAACUGUAUUGCAAGAGGGUGAAAGCUGUGGUUCCCUUAUCUGAAAUAGAAGUUAAGUUGCAGCCAUGGAAGUAGGCUGUUUAGUGCAAAAGUGAGAUAAGCAGUGCCUAAAAGACAUGUAGGAUUUUAAAGACAAUAUUUUUUCUUUCAAUAAUUAAAAAAUUGAAAUAUUCCCCCUCAUAAAACAGCCUUAGAUAACAGUUUGGUUAAAGUGGUAUUCUGAAAACAUCACUGAGCAUAUUUAUUCCCACUUCUCUAGUUCUGUGUCGGAGAUAUAUUCAGAAUAUGCCAAGUCUCAUGCAGUAAUUCCUGAACUUCUUGAAAUAGGUAUUUGCUGUAGCUGAAGCCAGAGGGUUUUGAGGUGAAAAAAGGUAGUGGUUUGUUAUUGUGAGCAUCAGUACAACUAGAAUUAAGUCAACUAAAAGUAUUGAAGUACAUCUUGAUUGCCUGUGUACAAUUUAUGUUUAAAUUAAGUUUAUCCUAAAAUUCAAAUAAAUUACUUUCAAAGUCUUCUUCCUGUUUUCAGCUUCUGAAUUAGGACACAGCCUUCUUCACUGAGAUGAGAUAUACAGAGAUUGGUAUCUUGAAGAUGCCUCCUUUUCUCAGCUCUCAAGGCAUGCUGAAUCAUCAUGGUCCAUCAUUAGACCACGGUUAUGGUCUAAUUGAGAGCUGAUUGCAGAUUGAAUAACAUAAGCUGAAUAUUAGAAUCAUUGCUCAUUGUUUCAUGAACUGAAGCGACAAUGCUUUGAAAGAAACCAUGAGAACUAGUUCAUUUCAGAGCCACCCUUUUUGUCUUGAUUAGUUUCUUCAUCCUAUCAUAAGAAAUCAGAUUCUCCAGCUGGGGGAAGUGUGAGUAAUAUCUUGUAUUCAAGAACUGUACAUAGCUGAAGAAUAUUUGCUAAAUAGAACCACUAGAAUUUGUGUUGUGCUCAGAAUUUUCAGGUAUAAUUGACUACAGUUAGUCUGCUUAAAUCCACCUUGAAAUGGUUCAGUUAAAAAAAAAAAACUAUAAUGUGGUCAGCAUUUCUGAAAUUACAGCAUGUAUUUUAGACAUAUUUAAAUAUUAAUAGGAAAAAGUUAAGACAUAUGUCUCUCUAGAUUAUACCUCUUAGGGGGUCAGCAAAGAAUUUCUUAUGUUUUAAUCAUUAACCCCCUAGCCAAAAAAAAAAAGCCCACAGGUUUGCUUGUUUGAUCAUAUUGUUUUUACAGUAACCCUUCACAAAAACUAUAUAUGCUUUUCUUUGUUCAAUGUAUGAUUAAAAGUGAACCAGAAGUUUUUAAAGUUUGAGUGAUAUCCUGUCCCCAUUUCAGUUAACAAUAAAUUGAGCACAGAUGUAAGUAGAUGAGUAUUUUGUUCACUCACUUUUCUUUCUCAUGUUAUUAAGUGAUCUGCAACUAAAAGGUAAAAUUUCUUGAUGUGAAUAAUGCUAAUGCAGGAUUUUAUACUCUUGGCAGUAAUCUGGUAGAAUACAAAUGAGACCACAAAACUUUUUUCACAAAGGUAACCAAGUGUCAGUCAAAUUAUUUUCUCACCUUCUUUUAUUCCAUACUCACUACUAAUUAGUACUAAAUUUCUGAAGGAAAGUUAUAAAUGGUAUAUCACAUUAGCAAACUAACAACCUGUCAGAUUUUUUCCCUUUGGGGCAUUUUAGCUGAAAUUAAUAGGAAUUUAAUUUCCUAUUAAAGUAUGCUAAUAAAAAGUAUCCAGAAUUUACUAGCAAUCAUUUUUCAUUUUGUAAUGUCUCUAUCACUCUGGAGCUUAUUGAUUCUGUCAUAUUUUUUUUAUACUGCCAGUCAGGCAUCUUGUUUUUGCAGGGCUAAAUGUUAUGUUCUGUUGCUGCUGAUCUUUUCAUCUUAUGAAUUUUAAUGAUGAGCCUGUUUUUUAUCCUCCUCUAAAACUGUUCUUCCUCCUGUAUCAAAGCAUUCAGAAUCUUUUCAAAAGCACUAGCUAAAUAAUGUGUUGUCAAUUUCUAUGAAAAGCAUCUGCCAGCUGGAAAAAGGGGCAGCAGAAGUUUAAUAUGUACAGAUAAAAUCUUUCCAAAUUAAACAUUAAAAGAAAUGUUGCUGGGUUUACACACACACAAGUUGCUAGACAGGGAUACAUUUGUCAGGAAGUAUGAACAUCUGAAUUUGAAAUAUUUGCUAGUCCAAGUUUAUCUGAGAGCCACAUUCCCCUCAUCUUUUCAGAAUACUUUCAUAAUGCACUGUGAGGGAGAUAAAGAGAAAUUAGAAAAUAAAUCUUUUCAUGACAUCUCUUUUUUUCUUUUUUUUGCAGAUAGGAAACUGGCGAAGUAACCAGUUGCCAAAACUUUAAAUUCUGUGCUGCUAGAGGAAUAUGAUGUUGUAAAAGAUUAUUUUCAGGGAUAGGACUGUUGCUGUCCUUUGUGGAAUAUUAAAGUAAAGAAAAGACACAACAUACAAAGUUAGAAACAGGAGCCAAAAAAUGACUUCAGUUAAAUAUUCUGUGGUAAACAGCUCAUGAUUGCAUUGAAAUCACAACUCAGUAAGACUGAAUUUUUACUUCAACAUUGUAGAGUAGAAUUAAAAUAAAUGCUCAGUGUUGCAGUGUAAAGCUAUGAAACCAGUGUCACUGAAGCUAAAAAUCAACCAAGUGAGGCUGAAAGCUCAACAAUGAUGACUAGAGUUAGAAAGCAACAGCUGAAGCAAAAAUAGUGACAGUGUGAGUGAAGCUGUAGCACUAAUGAUGGGACACUCCAAAAGAGAGAAGAAAAUCAGCCCAGUUCUGCUGGUUACAGAUCUACUCUAAAAUUCUCCAUUGCAGAGGAGACAGUUCCUUUUGUGAAACUGUUCUUCCUGAUGAUAAGAAAAAUGGAUUUAAAAUACAGUCAGAUAAGAAAAUAAGAACUCUGUUACAGAAUAGUUGUCUGCCAAAUGGCUUUUUAGUGUGUGUUUGUUUUUUCUUAGAAGCAAGCAGGUAAGGGAAAUGGCAAAGAACUACUUUAAGUGCAGUAUUGCAUAAGAUAAUCAAGCAAAUAAAUUCCACUUAUGAAGCAGUCUAAAACCUUUGCAGAGACUAGCACUUCCCUGAAAGGCUGUGGUAAGUUUCCCUCAAAUCUUGUUUUUUUCCCCUGACUCAGCUAACCUAAGAACAAAAGUACCGUUAUAAACCUAAAUGAGGAAUCUGGUAAAAUAAAAUUAUUAUUAGACAAUGCUACAUUAGGCCAUUUCUUAAUAGGAUGAAAAUAUAUGUGGAAUCUGAGUCUGGUUUUUUUUCAGUCCUUCCUGUCCAGCUUUCUCCAUUCAUUCAUUUUUAUCUUUUUUAACUUUUGAAAGCAGAGAAAUAAAUGAUUCUCUUCUCAACAUUAUUCCUCUUCUUCUUCGUACUUAGAAGCUUAUAAGUAGCACAGGAGAUUUCCAGUUUCUUAUGCUUAGUGCAUGCCUUCAUGAAUGUGAAUUUUAACAAGCAAAAUUUUUAGAAAAUAAUUUUCAAUUGACUUUGUCUCGUGGAUUCCACCUUUUUUAUGUAAUUCAAAAACUAAACUGGCCUCAUUAGUAGUAUUUGUACUCUGGUUAAUGAAUAUUUUGUCAAGUCCAAUAAUAAGCUUCUGGAAUGUUUUUGUUAUGCUUUUCAUAUUGCACACUUGAGUUUAAUAGGAAUUUUUUAUUAGAAUAUAUACUUUACAGAAUUUUCUAAAGAAAUAAAGAUCUAGUCUAUGAACUCUGCAUUUAAAGAUACUAGCUAGUUUCCAAAGCACCAAUCUUUGCUUAGUUCUGAUGCCUCUUAAAUCAAUGUUACACAAUUUCGUUAGCUGCAGGAUUAGGUCUGAUGUGAACAUUUGAAGAAAUCAUGUCUAAGGAUCAAGUUUUUCACCCUGUGGCUUUACUGGGAACGUGAUCGAACCCAAAGAUGACAUAAGGAGAAACAAGUCUGCAGAUAGAUUGUAUUACUCAUAAUACCCAUUUGAUAAGAUAUUUCACAGAAUCACAGAAUGGCUGAGGUUGGAAGGGACCUCUGGAGAUCAUCUAGUCCAACCCCCCUGCUCAAGCAGGGUCACCUAGAGCACAUUGCACAGGAUCGCAUCCAGACGGGUUUUGAAUAUCUCCAGAGAAGGAGACUCCACAACCUCUCUGGGCAACCUGUUCCAGUGCUCUUUCACCUUCACAGUAAAGAAGUUUUUCCUUAUAUUCAGAUGGAACUGAAUAUUUAAUUCUGCUUUGUUGAUUGUUCCUGAAAUAGCUGAUCAGAAAGUAUGUGCAUACGAAAUUCAUGGAUCCUAGAGAGAUGCAGUAUUUCAGUCCAUCACAGUGCUUCCCAGCGGUAGUAUAAUGACAUCGUAAUAACUAUAACCAGGUUAGUCUCCUGUGACCUUUCUGCAAUUCUCUCUACUGCUUACAGAAGAUACACUAUGGAUGAAGCAUUCACAUUACUUCCAGCUUAUUUUUCUUCUCAAUUGUUUCGAAUUACUAAAAUAUUUAGGUGUAAAAUUAUACAUGUGUUAAUGCCUGUUUCAUGAUUAGGACCUGCUGGGAUUCAUAAUGGAGGCAUCCUGGUGCACAAGUCCCAUGAAGUAACCAGUUCCCUAAACACAAUCAGCAGAGCGUGCCUCUUAACAAUAUUAAAUUAGCAAGAGUCAAGCAAUUACAGACAUAUUCUUUCAAAACAGCCAUUGAAAGAAGAGAAAUAGUGAUGCUAAUGUUUAUCUUAAAACCCUCAUCAAUUCCCAUGUUAUUGACUAUGUACGCAUUUCUGAUGCUUUGGAAAAAAGUCUAUAAAUGGCGCUAAGAACAGGAAUCUAAAGAUGGUCUAUCGCAAAAUCACUGGGCUUCAAUGGCAGUAUCUCUUUCUUGCUUUUUUCUGCCAUAAGGAAUUGUGCAUUCCUCUGUAGUAGGCCAGCAUCAACAGAAAGAUGGAGAAUGCCUCAAUUUCAGAACAAAAUAGAUACCAAUUUCUUUACUUCCUGUGCAAAUAGUUUAUGUACAAGGCUAUUACACAAAACUUCAAUAUAACCAGUUAUUUCUAAGAGUCAGCCUGUGCUUUAUACCUUGUGCAGGUAUGAGAACGCAAUUUGGGCUACUAAUCUAUUUCUAAUAAGCGUCUAAUUUAGGACUGUAGGUAGAUGUCUAUAUGCAAGAGAUGGUAUUUAAACAUACAUUUUUUUAAUAUUGCCUAUUGCCUGAGGUGAGCAUUUGCCUCUUUUCACCCUCAGUGUUUGCUUUUGUUAGUUCUAUUAUUUGAGAUUUGAGUUUUCUCAUUCUAUGUAUUCGAAAUUUAGAAAUACCAAACCCAAAUCAGGGUGCUAGUCUCAGAUUAAGUAUGAUGUGAUUUCUAAAUCCUUUUGCUUAUGCUUAGUUUAAUUGAAAAUGUGUAACUGAAAUUUAUUAUUAAAAUUAUGGUCUGACGUGACAAAUACCAAUAUGGACAUUGAUAGGAAUAGUGCAAGAUACAUUUCUUGGUGUUUUUGAGUCCUGUAUAAUGUUACAGGAUACAGAUAUUGCUCCUGUAUGUAGGAUAUUUGAUGUAUUUCUUUGGUCAAUAGAAAUGUCUUCUCAUUCUUUAAGUUUUUAGUUAGUCUUUCAUCCUCCUACAUAACCCUGGGUAAGUAACAUUUUAAAAAAUUCUUCCUCAUUCAAGAUUCAGUUAUCUUUGAAUAUUGGGGUAUUUCUCUGAACACCUGCAAGGACGUUGCAUUAUGUUGUCUGAUUCUGUUUUUUGAAACAUACACCAACACAUAAAUAUGAUGCAUACACAGUUAAUAAUACUCUAUCUCCUGAGGAAUAACAGUAUCUGCAGACGCAAUUAUAGAGCACUGAGGCAUCUGCAGACAUGGAGAUGAUAAAAGAAAAUGGCAGAUGGAUAGGAGAUAGGUUAUUGUGUAAGUAACAGACACUAUAACAGUCUGUCUUUUGAAAUGAAGACUUAUUUGAUUAAGCAAAGAACAUUGUAGUAUGCUAUGAAUACAGUAGAAAACUAUCAAAAUUUGUAAUGUCCAAGUGAAGUUCCUAUUUUCUGAAACUGUGAGAUCCCAUGAUGCGCUCCUACCUCAGUAUGGCAUUCACACAUGCCCCCUGUUCAGAACAGGUGUUAAGCACAGUAGUAACCAUUCCUUUUUAUUUAUAGUUUCAAAUAAAAAUUAAGUGAAUGGUUUCAGAUCUUGCUAGAUUAGUUAAUUUGUUUUAUCAUUAUGUACUUGCUCACACUUGUAACACAUAAUUAGACAGUAAAACACUGAAAGUGACUGAGGACUUUGCCUCUGAGAUAUUUCUCUGCUGAAUAAAAUUAAGCAAUAUGAAACUAAAAAGGGAGAUAAUGUCUAUUUAAAAGCAUUUUAACAGCUUUAGUUUGCAUCAGAUAAUGAAUGAAUUAAUAGAACUGUGUGCAAUAACACUGAAUGUUUUCUGGUUUAGUCUUCAUUUUCUAAAAUACUUUAUUUUCAAGAUACAGCAUACUGUAAGAUAGUGGGGAAUAGCUGUUUCCAUAAUGAUUAAAACUCUGUGUCCUGCUUGUGUCUUUGCAAUUUCUUGAAUCGUCUUUCCUUUCUUUUGUAGAAUAUGUAAAUAAAAAUGUUACUGCA
Dromaius novaehollandiae (emu) is the source of this 7887-nucleotide RNA transcript. It is a transcript of the gene named tumor suppressor candidate 3, with no coding region annotated. The transcript is spliced from 9 exons. The record is from RefSeq and is a predicted model, not a curated record. NCBI's taxonomy places the organism in Eukaryota, Metazoa, Chordata, Aves, Casuariiformes, Dromaiidae.